AUUGAACGCUGGCGGCAGGCUUAACACAUGCAAGUCGAGCGAGCGGCGGACGGGUGAGUAAUGUCUGGGAAACUGCCUGAUGGCGGGGGAUAACUACUGGAAACGGUAGCUAAUACCGCAUACCAUCAGAUGGGCCGAGAUGGGAUUAGCUAGUAGGUGGGGUAAAGGCUCACCUAGGCGACGAUCCCUAGCUGGUCUGAGAGGAUGACCAGCCACACUGGGACUGAGAAACGGCCCAGACUCCUACGGGAGGCAGCAGUGGGGAAUAUUGCACAAUGGGGGAAAGCCUGAUCCAGCCAUGCCGCGUGUGUGAAGAAGGCCUUCGGGUUGUAAAGUACUUUCAGCGAGGAGGCGUUACUCGCAGAAGAAGCACCGGCUAACUCCGUGCCAGCCGCCGCGGUAAUAC
RNAcentral lists this ribosomal RNA (406 nucleotides) under uncultured bacterium. RNAcentral's name for it is "partial 16S ribosomal RNA". It matches the Rfam family "Bacterial small subunit ribosomal RNA", at positions 30 to 526 of the family's 1533-position model. The record is from RNAcentral.